GCCCUUGUGGCGAAAUGGUUAUCGCUUUCCACUUCUAAUUCGCGUUAUAUUGUGACUGGGAUGGAAGGAUUGCGGGUUCGAGUCCCGCCAGGGGUU
Apiotrichum porosum is the source of this 96-nucleotide non-coding RNA. Lineage: Eukaryota; Fungi; Basidiomycota; Tremellomycetes; Trichosporonales; Trichosporonaceae. The record is from the annotation of a RefSeq genome assembly.